Non-coding RNA from Leptonychotes weddellii (Weddell seal), 381 nucleotides. Lineage: Eukaryota; Metazoa; Chordata; Mammalia; Carnivora; Phocidae. The record is from RefSeq and is a predicted model, not a curated record.
GGGGCGGGGAGGGGCGGGUGGUGUUUCCGUUGCUUCGAGUGGACUGAGAGCUGCUGCCUGGAGCCUAUUCUGCUUGCAUCCCUGCCCGCCCCGCGCGCCGCCGCCCCGCGCGUCGCCGCUCUCUGGGAGGUUCGGGGCACUUAGGUCCCUCUGUCACCCUCGGUUUGCAUCACCUUCUCCUGACCUGAGCAGUAGCCAUGGCACAGGUUCUUAAAGGCACCGUGGUUGCCUUCCCUGAAUUUGAUGAGCGGGCUGAUGCAGAAACUCUUCGGAAGGCCAUGAAAGGCCUCGGCACUGAUGAGGAGAGCAUCUUGACUCUGUUGACAUCCCGAAGUAAUGCUCAGCGCCAGGAAAUCGCCGUGGCUUUUAAAACUCUAUUUG